CCCAAAACCUCGCGUUCAAGUUCGUCCCCAUCUCCGACUGGCGGAAAAUGUUGCGAUCAAUUCUCAGAGCAGCAGCCGCCGCAGCCUCUAGACACCAGCCGUACAAUCGGAAUCCCUCUCCGAUCCUAUCUUUUACUUCAAAUUACUCAGCUAAGGCAACCAAAUCGGCCGUUAAGAAGGCGCCCAAGAAGGGCAAGUCCAAGGGCGACGGCAAAGCCACCGAUGAUCCCUCCGCCUCCGCUGCUGCUUCCGACGACUUAGAUGCGGCGCUUUUUGAUGAUAAAUCUCGAUCCCGACGUCUUGCUGCCGAGGAAAAUGAUCACUCACUCGACGUUGGCCCAAAUGGCCGCCCUCUCUUUACCUCCGCAUCUUCACUCUCACAGCUCACUCGCAAGGAUGCAGGCACUUAUUUCAAAUUCAAUAUGGAAGGACUAAAUGAGGCACUGCCUGAGGGUUUGCCUUUGGGAAUGGUCAAGGAGUUCGAGGAUUCUAUGCGAAGUGCUCUGCUUGUGCGGCAAAAUUUUUUGGAUCUUCGCGACAAUUUCAGGCGUGUGGUUGAUCCUUCAUUGUUGUCGCCGGCUGGUUCAAAUAUUAGAAAACAGAUCGUAUUGGAUGGUCCGGUCAAUAGUGGAAAGAGCAUUGCACUCGCCAUGCUUGUUCACUGGGCUCGCGAUGAAGGUUGGCUAGUUUUUUAUGUUCCUAGUGGGCGUCGGUGGACUCAUGGAGGAUUCUUCUAUAAAAACGCUGAAACAGGACUUUGGGAUACACCCGUUCAGGCUGAAGAUGUUCUGAGAGAUUUUCUGAAAUACAAUGAGACCCGCUUAAGACAACUGCCAUGUCAAUUAUCUGAUCCUAUACCAUUGGGAGAGGGUGUUGGUGUCAGGAUGAAGAAAGGUGCUGAUUCCAUGAUGAUGCCUGAGGGUUCAACUUUAUAUGACUUAAUUGAUACUGGAAUCAAGCACACUCAUGCAGCUGUUGGGGUGGUAGUUCGUUUAAGAAAAGAAUUAUCGCUUGUGAAAGAUAUUCCUGUGCUUUUUGCUAUUGAUCAAUAUAACAACUGGUUUACAUUCAGUGAAUUUGAAGAACCAGUGACCGUUCGUUCUACUCGACCAAUACACGCUAGAGAACUCGCAAUGGUAAAAGCUUUUAGGUCUAUGAUGCAUGACGACAUGAUGGUUGGUGCUUUCUCUCAUUCAACUGCUGUUGGAAAGUUGCGUCAAGACUUGCCAGAUGUUCCUUUAGGUGCACGUGUUAAUUUCCCUCGCUACAAUCUUGAUGAAGCAGCUUCUGUUUUUCACUAUUACCUCAGACAAAGACUGAUACGCCGCGAAGCCUUCUCAGAAGAUGCCUGGAAAAAGGUAUACUAUUUGUCAAAUGGAAAUGGAGCAGAAAUGCGGUGGUUGGUACCAUUGAUGCGGUGACAAUGACACCAAUGGGGCUAAGUGUCCUCCUUGCCUGUUCACAUCGACUGGACACGGUACCAUCGCUUAGAACUCAUGCAUAUUUCUUCACUUGGAAUUAGAUAUCCCUAACCCUCACAAGAUGCGACAUAUCAUAGGGCAUUCUGGCCUAAAAUACCGAGUCGAGUGUUUGUAUUUGUAAGUUUAGCGCACGCACAUCGGAGAAGUAACCUUUUCUACGGCACAAUUUUUAUUGCCUACUUGGGCUACACUUAUCAUCUUGUGUGUUCUUUCAUUAAUAUAUAUUCUAAAUACAUUCUUCAAUAAGGUGUUAUCUUUUAAGGAAGAACUUGAGAUGCCCAAUUUAGGCCGUUAGUUUUGCAGGCCA
Molecule: non-coding RNA, 1788 nt
Organism: Cucurbita pepo subsp. pepo (vegetable marrow)
Lineage: Eukaryota; Viridiplantae; Streptophyta; Magnoliopsida; Cucurbitales; Cucurbitaceae
Source: RefSeq, a predicted model, not a curated record